UGGGGAAUAUUGCACAAUGGGCGCAAGCCUGAUGCAGCAACGCCGCGUGAGGGAUGACGGCCUUCGGGUUGUAAACCUCUUUUAGCAGGGAAGAAGCGAAAGUGACGGUACCUGCAGAAAAAGCACCGGCUAACUACGUGCCAGCAGCCGCGGUAAUACGUAGGGUGCAAGCGUUGUCCGGAAUUAUUGGGCGUAAAGAGCUCGUAGGCGGUCUGUCGCGUCUGCUGUGAAAUCCCCGAGGCUCAACCUCGGGCCUGCAGUGGGUACGGGCAGACUAGAGUGCGGUAGGGGAGAAUGGAACUCCUGGUGUAGCGGUGGAAUGCGCAGAUAUCAGGAAGAACACCGAUGGCGAAGGCAGUUCUCUGGGCCGUAACUGACGCUGAGGAGCGAAAGCGUGGGGAGCGAACAGGAUUAGAUACCCUGGUAGUCCACGCCGUAAACGUUGGGCGCUAGAUGUGGGGACCACUCCACGGUUUCCGUGUCGCAGCUAACGCAUUAAGCGCCCCGCCUGGGGAGUACGGCCGCAAGGCUAAAACUU
Molecule: ribosomal RNA, 538 nt
Filed under: uncultured bacterium
Lineage: Bacteria
Description: partial 16S ribosomal RNA
Rfam family: Bacterial small subunit ribosomal RNA
Source: RNAcentral